Molecule: ribosomal RNA, 478 nt
Filed under: uncultured bacterium
Lineage: Bacteria
Description: partial 16S ribosomal RNA
Rfam family: Bacterial small subunit ribosomal RNA
Source: RNAcentral
GACGAACGCUGGCGGCGUGCCUAACACAUGCAAGUCGAGCGAUGAAAUCCCUUCGGGGAUGGAUUAGCGGCGGACGGGUGAGUAACACGUGGGUAACCUGCCUCAAAGAGGGGGAUAGCCUCCCGAAAGGGAGAUUAAUACCGCAUAACAUUAGUUUUUCGCAUGGGAAACUAAUUAAAGGAGUAAUCCGCUUUGAGAUGGACCCGCGGCGCAUUAGCUAGUUGGUGAGGUAACGGCUCACCAAGGCGACGAUGCGUAGCCGACCUGAGAGGGUGAUCGGCCACAUUGGAACUGAGACACGGUCCAGACUCCUACGGGAGGCAGCAGUGGGGAAUAUUGCACAAUGGGCGAAAGCCUGAUGCAGCAACGCCGCGUGAGUGAUGAAGGCCUUCGGGUUGUAAAGCUCUGUCUUUGGGGACGAUAAUGACGGUACCCAAGGAGGAAGCCACGGCUAACUACGUGCCAGCAGCCGCCGUAA